ACGAACAGUUGGAAACGAACUGCUAAUAACCGCAUACGAUCUAAUCUCGGCAUCGAGGAUAGAUGAAAGGUGGCCUCUACAUGUAAGCUAUCACUGAAGGAGGGGAUUGCGUCUGAUUAGCUAGUUGGAGGGGUAACGGCCCACCAAGGCGAUGAUCAGUAGCCGGUCUGAGAGGAUGAACGGCCACAUUGGGACUGAGACACGGCCCAGACUCCUACGGGAGGCAGCAUG
Molecule: ribosomal RNA, 231 nt
Filed under: uncultured bacterium
Lineage: Bacteria
Description: partial 16S ribosomal RNA
Rfam family: Bacterial small subunit ribosomal RNA
Source: RNAcentral